Molecule: ribosomal RNA, 253 nt
Filed under: uncultured bacterium
Lineage: Bacteria
Description: partial 16S ribosomal RNA
Rfam family: Bacterial small subunit ribosomal RNA
Source: RNAcentral
UACGGAGGAUCCAAGCGUUAUCCGGAAUCAUUGGGUUUAAAGGGUCCGUAGGCGGGCCUGUAAGUCAGUGGUGAAAUCCGGCGGCUUAACCGUCGAACUGCCAUUGAUACUGCAGGCCUUGAAUUAUUGGGAAGUAACUAGAAUAUGUAGUGUAGCGGUGAAAUGCUUAGAUAUUACAUGGAAUACCGAUUGCGAAGGCAGGUUACUACCAAUUGAUUGACGCUGAUGGACGAAAGCGUGGGGAGCGAACAGG